GAUGAACGCUGGUGGCGUGCCUAAUACAUGCAAGUCGAGCGAACAGACGAGGAGCUUGCUCCUCUGACGUUAGCGGCGGACGGGUGAGUAACACGUGGAUAACCUACCUAUAAGACUGGGAUAACUUCGGGAAACCGGAGCUAAUACCGGAUAAUAUAUUGAACCGCAUGGUUCAAUAGUGAAAGACGGUUUUGCUGUCACUUAUAGAUGGAUCCGCGCCGCAUUAGCUAGUUGGUAAGGUAACGGCUUACCAAGGCGACGAUGCGUAGCCGACCUGAGAGGGUGAUCGGCCACACGGGAACUGAGACACGGUCCAGACUCCUACGGGAGGCAGCAGUAGGGAAUCUUCCGCAAUGGGCGAAAGCCUGACGGAGCAACGCCGCGUGAGUGAUGAAGGUCUUCGGAUCGUAAAACUCUGUUAUUAGGGAAGAACAAAUGUGUAAGUAACUAUGCACGUCUUGACGGUACCUAAUCAGAAAGCCACGGCUAACUACGUG
RNAcentral lists this ribosomal RNA (497 nucleotides) under uncultured bacterium. RNAcentral's name for it is "partial 16S ribosomal RNA". It matches the Rfam family "Bacterial small subunit ribosomal RNA", at positions 28 to 507 of the family's 1533-position model. The record is from RNAcentral.